This 279-nucleotide ribosomal RNA is filed under the name uncultured bacterium. RNAcentral describes it as "partial 16S ribosomal RNA". It matches the Rfam family "Bacterial small subunit ribosomal RNA", at positions 506 to 784 of the family's 1533-position model. The record is from RNAcentral.
UGCCAGCAGCCGCGGUAAUACGGAGGGUGCAAGCGUUGUUCGGAAUUACUGGGCGUAAAGCGCGUGUAGGCGGCUAUAUAAGUCGGAUGUGAAAGCCCUUGGCUCAACUGAGGAAGUGCAUCCGAUACUGUAUAGCUUGAGUCUCGGAGAGGGUUGUGGAAUUCCCGGUGUAGAGGUGAAAUUCGUAGAUAUCGGGAGGAACACCAGUGGCGAAGGCGACAACCUGGACGAUGACUGACGCUGAGACGCGAAAGCGUGGGGAGCAAACAGGAUUAGAUA